ACGUAGGGGGCGAGCGUUGUUCGGAAUUACUGGGCGUAAAGGGCAUGUAGGCGGUUUUGUAAGACUGGCGUGAAAGGCUGCAGCUUAACUGGAGCAUGGCGCGGGUAACUACAAGGCUUGAGUCACGGAGAGGGGGGAAGAACUCCAGGUGUAGGAGUGAAAUCCGGUGAUACCUGGGGGAAGACCAGUGGCGAAGGCGACUCACCAGGACGGGUCUGACGCUGAGGAGCGAAAGCUUGGGUAGCAAACCG
This 251-nucleotide ribosomal RNA is filed under the name uncultured prokaryote. RNAcentral describes it as "partial 16S rRNA". It matches the Rfam family "Bacterial small subunit ribosomal RNA", at positions 525 to 775 of the family's 1533-position model. The record is from RNAcentral.